RNAcentral lists this ribosomal RNA (380 nucleotides) under uncultured Nitrososphaerota archaeon. RNAcentral's name for it is "bacterial SSU rRNA". It matches the Rfam family "Archaeal small subunit ribosomal RNA", at positions 471 to 851 of the family's 1478-position model. The record is from RNAcentral. Lineage: Archaea; Thermoproteati; Nitrososphaerota.
UAAAACCAGCACCUCAAGUGGUCAGGAUGAUUAUUGGGCCUAAAGCAUCCGUAGCCUGUUCUGUAAGUUUUCGGUUAAAUCUAUGCGCUCAACGUAUAGGCUGCCGAAAAUACUGCAGAACUAGGGAGUGGGAGAGGUAGACGGUACUCGGUAGGAAGGGGUAAAAUCCUUUGAUCUAUUGAUGACCACCUGUGGCGAAGGCGGUCUACCAGAACACGUUCGACGGUGAGGGAUGAAAGCUGGGGGAGCAAACCGGAUUAGAUACCCGGGUAGUCCCAGCUGUAAACGAUGCAAACUCGAUGAUGCGUUGGCUUAUUGCUAGCGCAGUGUCGCAGGGAAGCCGUUAAGUUUGCCGCCUGGGAAGUACGUACGCAAGUAUG